GUGCUUGCUUCAGCAGCACAUAUACUAAAAUUGAAUGAUACAGAGAAGAUUAGUAUGGCCCCUGCACAAGGAUGACACACAAAUUCAUGAAAUGUUCCACAUUUUU
This 106-nucleotide small nuclear RNA is filed under the name Canis lupus familiaris (dog). The record is from RNAcentral. RNAcentral also lists the same sequence under 1 other name. Lineage: Eukaryota; Metazoa; Chordata; Mammalia; Carnivora; Canidae.